AUUGAACGCUGGCGGCAUGCCUUACACAUGCAAGUCGAACGGCAGCACGGGUGCUUGCACCUGGUGGCGAGUGGCGAACGGGUGAGUAAUACAUCGGAACAUGUCCUGUAGUGGGGGAUAGCCCGGCGAAAGCCGGAUUAAUACCGCAUACGAUCUACGGAUGAAAGCGGGGGACCUUCGGGCCUCGCGCUAUAGGGUUGGCCGAUGGCUGAUUAGCUAGUUGGUGGGGUAAAGGCCUACCAAGGCGACGAUCAGUAGCUGGUCUGAGAGGACGACCAGCCACACUGGGACUGAGACACGGCCCAGACUCCUACGGGAGGCAGCAGUGGGGAAUUUUGGACUAUGGGCGAAAGCCUGAUCCAGCAAUGCCGCGUGUGUGAAGAAGGCCUUCGGGUUGUAAAGCACUUUUGUCCGGAAAGAAAUCCUUGGCCCUAAUACGGUCGGGGGAUGACGGUACCGGAAGAAUAAGCACCGGCUAACUACGUG
This 486-nucleotide ribosomal RNA is filed under the name uncultured bacterium. RNAcentral's name for it is "partial 16S ribosomal RNA". It matches the Rfam family "Bacterial small subunit ribosomal RNA", at positions 30 to 507 of the family's 1533-position model. The record is from RNAcentral.